Bactrocera tryoni is the source of this 275-nucleotide long non-coding RNA. RefSeq lists it as uncharacterized. NCBI's taxonomy places the organism in Eukaryota, Metazoa, Arthropoda, Insecta, Diptera, Tephritidae. The transcript has 2 exons. The record is from RefSeq and is a predicted model, not a curated record.
AGUCAGUUCACUAUACACUUGUGCGACAUGUUGUUCAGACAUAAUUUCGUUGUCAUCGUUGAAGUGCACGGAUAUGGCCUCAGAAGAGGAAAUUAUAGCGCUACUUGUAAUUUCGGUGUGCGCGGAUAUGUUGGCUCAUAUAAGAAUUUCGCAUGUCAUUAAUGCGCUUUCCUACUAUAUCAAUUGUGGCAUCAUCAUCAAUUUGUUUACAAGUCUAUGUCAACUUUGUAUUCUUUUUAACUUUUUCUUGCAAAAUUCAUUUUUUAUUUCCCAAA